UUGUAAUGUAGACCCAGGGGUGUUUAGUAUCUUAAACAGUUUGAAAACUUUUGGAGCAAUUGAAAUUGACAAGAAGUCGAGUAGCAUUCGUUUAAUCAGAGAGAAAGAUAAACAAGCACAGUUACAAGUAACGCCAACGAAGACCAUAGACGACUUGAAGUUGAUUCUACAAAAGACAAUUACAACAGGCGGGGUGAAUAUUAGAGGUUGUUGCAUGUCAGUUAAUGGCAAAUUUUUCUUCACCGACUAUUACUUACGGAAAAGUCUAAAUGUCAUUGCGUCGGAUGGUAAAUUCAAAUUUAAUCUAGAUCCUAGUCAUGGGUAUGACAUAACAAUAAUCAAUGAGAAAACAAUCGCUAUCACAUCUGGAGAUUCUAGUAAGCACAUCGGUAUUGACAUAAUAGACAUUGAGAGCCGAAAGAAAAUCAAAUUCAUCAGCCUUCCUGAUCGUCCAUGGGGAAUCACACGUGAUCAAGACUCGCUGUUUGUUUGUGUUCAAGGACGUGGUAUAUAUAGAGUAAACACCUUGGAUUAUACUACCUCUCACUUGAUCAGUUGUAACUUAUCAGCAUCGACUAAAAUAUCUGUAUUCGCCGAGAAGAUAUACUACAUUAACUGGUUAAAUCACACUGUAGAUUGUUGUGAUCGUAAUGGAUUAAGUGUUUGGAAGUUUAAAGAAGAAUCAGUUUUGGAAAAUCCGAGAGGCCUUACUGUAGAUAAAGAAGGAAACGUGUUUGUUGUUGGAGCAUCGUCGUCGAAUGUUGUCAUGAUAUCAAACGAUGGAAAACACUACAAACAAAUUCUCACCAUAGAUAAUGGUCUACGUGAACCGUCAGCUAUUUUCUUUGAUAAGCAGACCAGGAAACUUCUUGUUGCGAAUAAACAAGAAACUGCUUUCCUUUACAGUGUUACUUAAAGUGAUUGAUAUUAAUAAGUUUUAUAUGACAAUUUGACUUCUUUUGUUCUUUUGUUCUAUGAGGCAUGACAUCUUUCAACCUGUAAAAAUGAUUUUUAACAAUGAUCGAUGGAAUCAAUUAUGUUUGUAAUGUAAAUAUUUUAACCUCGGUCUAAUUAAAGAUAUGAAA
RNAcentral lists this long non-coding RNA (1085 nucleotides) under Mytilus galloprovincialis (Mediterranean mussel). The record is from RNAcentral. Lineage: Eukaryota; Metazoa; Mollusca; Bivalvia; Mytilida; Mytilidae.